GUGGAUUAGUGGCGAACGGGUGAGUAACACGUGAGUAACCUGCCCUGGACUCUGGGAUAACCCCGAGAAAUCGGAGCUAAUACCGGAUAGGACCUUUCCCCGCAUGGGGUUUGGUGGAAAGUUUUUCGGUCUGGGAUGGACUCGCGGCCUAUCAGCUUGUUGGUGAGGUAAUGGCUCACCAAGGCGUCGACGGGUAGCCGGCCUGAGAGGGUGACCGGCCACACUGGGACUGAGACACGGCCCAGACUCCUACGGGAGGCAGCAGUGGGGAAUAUUGCACAAUGGGCGCAAGCCUGAUGCAGCAACGCCGCGUGCGGGAUGACGGCCUUCGGGUUGUAAACCGCUUUUAGUAGGGAAGAAGGGCUUCGGCUUGACGGUACCUGCGAAAAAAGGACCGGCUA
Molecule: ribosomal RNA, 401 nt
Filed under: Agromyces sp.
Lineage: Bacteria; Bacillati; Actinomycetota; Actinomycetes; Micrococcales; Microbacteriaceae
Description: bacterial SSU rRNA
Rfam family: Bacterial small subunit ribosomal RNA
Source: RNAcentral